CACCGAAUUAGCGUACUUACGGUCCGGAUUGUUGGUCAACAUCCGCACCUUUCUGCACCAGCACAGGGAUGACGUCAUGGUGCCCGUUCAGAACAGCAGCAGCCAGAGCUGUACGCCCAUCGCCGUCUAGACAUGAUGGAUCGGCACCCUAAAAAAACAGCAGAACGUUAUCCAGACUUUUCUGAGGUUGAACGUUAUACCUGGCCGGACUCCUCGGCGCCAUCCUGUGGAUAGAGCUGUGCGGUAGAGCCUGGCACUCGGGGAGGACCUUCCAGAAACACGCCGCAGGUUCCACAGUAGUUGGCGUACGGGUGACUGCUCGCUCCACAUUGUGAACAGUUCAGAGGGCACACCUUCCACCAUGAAGACCUUGGUGACGACAGCGCUUUGCCGACCGUCGCUGGAGCAAAGAGAAAAGUUUAAGAAUGAAUUCUCAGAUGAUUAAACAUUUUGAACGUCUA
This is a long non-coding RNA of Trichomycterus rosablanca, 461 nucleotides long. RefSeq lists it as uncharacterized. NCBI's taxonomy places the organism in Eukaryota, Metazoa, Chordata, Actinopteri, Siluriformes, Trichomycteridae. The transcript is spliced from 3 exons. The record is from RefSeq and is a predicted model, not a curated record.